AUCCUGGCUCAGAUUGAACGCUGGCGGCAGGCUUAACACAUGCAAGUCGAACGGUAACAGGCCGCAAGGUGCUGACGAGUGGCGAACGGGUGAGUAAUGCAUCGGAACGUGCCCAGUCGUGGGGGAUAACGCAGCGAAAGCUGCGCUAAUACCGCAUACGAUCUAUGGAUGAAAGCGGGGGACCGUAAGGCCUCGCGCGAUUGGAGCGGCCGAUGUCAGAUUAGGUAGUUGGUGGGGUAAAGGCUCACCAAGCCAACGAUCUGUAGCUGGUCUGAGAGGACGACCAGCCACACUGGAACUGAGACACGGUCCAGACUCCUACGGGAGGCAGCAGUGGGGAAUUUUGGACAAUGGACGCAAGUCUGAUCCAGCCAUUCCGCGUGCAGGAUGAAGGCCCUCGGGUUGUAAACUGCUUUUGUACGGAACGAAAAGGUUUCCAUUAAUACUGGGAGCUCAUGACGGUACCGUAAGAAUAAGCACCGGCUAACUACGUG
This 494-nucleotide ribosomal RNA is filed under the name uncultured bacterium. RNAcentral describes it as "bacterial SSU rRNA". It matches the Rfam family "Bacterial small subunit ribosomal RNA", at positions 16 to 507 of the family's 1533-position model. The record is from RNAcentral.